This 460-nucleotide ribosomal RNA is filed under the name uncultured bacterium. RNAcentral describes it as "partial 16S ribosomal RNA". It matches the Rfam family "Bacterial small subunit ribosomal RNA", at positions 338 to 795 of the family's 1533-position model. The record is from RNAcentral.
CCUACGGGAGGCAGCAGUGAGGAAUAUUGGUCAAUGGACGAGAGUCUGAACCAACCAAGUAGCGUGAAGGAUGACUGCCCUAUGGGUUGUAAACUUCUUUUAUAUGGGAAUAAAAUGUUCCACGUGUGGGAUUUUGUAUGUACCAUAUGAAUAAGGAUCGGCUAACUCCGUGCCAGCAGCCGCGGUAAUACGGAGGAUCCGAGCGUUAUCCGGAUUUAUUGGGUUUAAAGGGAGCGUAGGUGGAUUGUUAAGUCAGUUGUGAAAGUUUGCGGCUCAACCGUAAAAUUGCAGUUGAAACUGGCAGUCGUGAGUACAGUAGAGGUGGGCGGAAUUCGUGGUGUAGCGGUGAAAUGCUUAGAUAUCACGAAGAACUCCGAUUGCGAAGGCAGCUCACUGGACUGCAACUGACACUGAGGCUCGAAAGUGUGGGUAUCAAACAGGAUUAGAUACCCCAGUAGUC